UGGGGAAUAUUGCACAAUGGGCGCAAGCCUGAUGCAGCCAUGCCGCGUGUGUGAAGAAGGCCUUCGGGUUGUAAAGCACUUUCAGCGAGGAGGAAGGUGGUGGACUUAAUACGUUCAUCAAUUGACGUUACUCGCAGAAGAAGCACCGGCUAACUCCGUGCCAGCAGCCGCGGUAAUACGGAGGGUGCAAGCGUUAAUCGGAAUUACUGGGCGUAAAGCGCACGCAGGCGGUUUGUUAAGUCAGAUGUGAAAUCCCCGGGCUCAACCUGGGAACUGCAUUUGAAACUGGCAAGCUAGAGUCUCGUAGAGGGGGGUAGAAUUCCAGGUGUAGCGGUGAAAUGCGUAGAGAUCUGGAGGAAUACCGGUGGCGAAGGCGGCCCCCUGGACGAAGACUGACGCUCAGGUGCGAAAAGCGUGGGGAGCAAAACAGGAUUAGAUACCCUGGUAGUCCACGCUGUAAAACGAUGUCGAUUUGGAGGUUGUGCCCUUGAGGCGUGGCUUCCGGAGCUAACGCGUUAAAUCGACCGCCUGGGGAGUACGGCCGC
Molecule: ribosomal RNA, 545 nt
Filed under: uncultured bacterium
Lineage: Bacteria
Description: partial 16S ribosomal RNA
Rfam family: Bacterial small subunit ribosomal RNA
Source: RNAcentral